RNAcentral lists this ribosomal RNA (497 nucleotides) under uncultured bacterium. RNAcentral describes it as "partial 16S ribosomal RNA". It matches the Rfam family "Bacterial small subunit ribosomal RNA", at positions 28 to 507 of the family's 1533-position model. The record is from RNAcentral.
GAUGAACGCUGGCGGCGUGCCUAAUACAUGCAAGUCGAGCGAACGGACGAGAAGCUUGCUUUUCUGAUGUUAGCGACGGACGGGUGAGUAACACGUGGAUAACCUACCUAUAAGACUGGGAUAACUUCGGGAAACCGGAGCUAAUACCGGAUAAUAUUUUGAACCGCAUGGUUCAAAAGUGAAAGACGGUCUUGCUGUCACUUAUAGAUGGAUCCGCGCUGCAUUAGCUAGUUGGUAAGGUAACGGCUUACCAAGGCAACGAUGCAUAGCCGACCUGAGAGGGUGAUCGGCCACACUGGAACUGAGACACGGUCCAGACUCCUACGGGAGGCAGCAGUAGGUAAUCUUCCGCAAUGGGCGAAAGCCUGACGGAGCAACGCCGCGUGAGUGAUGAAGGUCUUCGGAUCGUAAAACUCUGUUAUUAGGGAAGAACAUAUGUGUAAGUAACUGUGCACAUCUUGACGGUACCUAAUCAGAAAGCCACGGCUAACUACGUG